AGCGAACGCUGGCGGCAGGCCUAACACAUGCAAGUCGAACGAACCUUCCGGGGUUAGUCGCCUACGAGUGAGGAGCCCGUGGGAACGUUCACUUAUGGUUGGCAUAACUCUGGGAAACGGGUGCUAAUGCCGAAUCUGCCCUUCUAGGGGAAGAUUAAUCGCCUUUAGGGGGGCACGCGUCUGAUUAGCUAGUUGGGUGAGGUAAUGGCGCACCAAGGCGACGAUCAGUAGCUGGUAUGUGAGAAUGAUCAGCGACUUUGGGACGAGGACACGGCCCAAACUCUUACGGGAGGCAGCAGUGGGUAAUCUUGCGCAAUGGGCGAAAGCCUGACGCACCUAUGCCGCGUGAAUGAUGAUGUUCUUAGAGUUGUAAAAUUCUUUCACCGGGGACGAUAAUGACGGUACCCAGAGAAGAAGCCCCGGCUAACUUCGUG
Molecule: ribosomal RNA, 434 nt
Filed under: uncultured bacterium
Lineage: Bacteria
Description: partial 16S ribosomal RNA
Rfam family: Bacterial small subunit ribosomal RNA
Source: RNAcentral